CGCUGCGCAGACAGUGCACGACAUGUAUGUGGCCAGAGUGUCUGGAGUCUGUCUGAAACUGAUAAAAAUGGUGAUGGAGUUUUCAAGAGUCUUGCUCAUAUUUUAUUAGAAAGGCAAAAGGAGACAGAGCGGAAUUUUGCAUUGAUCCAACACUAUAGUCAUUUCGUAGCUUGAAAACUAGAUUUUAUUGUAGCGCAUUUCAAAGUUUAUUCCAUGUUUUCACCAGACAGUUCGAUUAUUAACAGGCAGGGGGAAAAUAUCAUUUUGGUGACCCCUUGACUGUCACAGAUUCAGCUACACUGAAAGAUGGUGUCCGUAAUCUGGAUCUUUGCUGCCAUGUGGACGGUAGGUUUAAAAGGGCAUUUCCCUUUUAACAGCAAGCAAAUUUGGGCAUGUCACGGAGAAACAGGCGAAACAGCAAGAAUGCAAAGAGCGUAACGUCUGACUCUUCUGAAAGCCAUACCCAACUGCUGGAGCGAGGCAUUGAAUGUGUUAGGACAGCUGCCUCCAUUUUAGGGAGGAGUUUUGUGGAGGAAGAUGGAGAUCCCUUCUACAGUACCAGAAUUUGCAGCGUGAAUCGAUUCUGAUUUGAGGCAUUGUUUGCAAUUUUUUACCUCGGUUUUGUUAUCCAGUGUUUACUUGCAAAUUGAAUAUAAUAAUUUAGUAAAAUUUUUAUUAAAUUGCGCGUGUGGUGUUAAAUGAGAUUGUUGGAACACGACGAAUCGUACUCUGGGUUCAUUGCUUACCAGUCUCGGAUUGCAACAAAUUUUGUUUUCUGUUCGAAGCAUAGCCACUAUUAUUGUAACAUUGUAAAGAUUUUGUUUUGGUUAGGCAUACAGUGACAGAUUUUGAUCGGCUUUUUAUUGCAUUUUCUGUACUGAAAUUGUUAGUGAUACAAAAUACAAAACAAAACACCUUAAUGUUCAAAUAAAAAAUGCCCUAAGGGCCCCAGGAUUUUAGUGGUAAACAUGAUUUGUAAUAUGCUAUGAAAUUUUAUUUGUCUUAUUUAUUGUGUAUUACCUAGAUAAUUAGCUGUUAUAUUUAGAUUUCUACCCUCAAGUCGCACAUUUGGCAGAUAGUAUUACCAAAUUUAAAGUUGGAACACAUUUUUUUGGAGAUGUUUGGUGUGAAACGUGACUCUUAGUUUGUGUCUUUUACAAUACAGAAUUUUAGCAUUUGUUUGAGAUUUGUUUUAUUUCUGUUUAUUACAACGUUAUGUUUUGUGAUUUCAUCUGCCAUUUGAAUAAUGCUUAUCUUAUUAAUUGUUCAUUUGAUUUUUUUUGUGAAUGGCAUGUUUAAAAUUCAGUUGACAUUUUUGAAGUCAAAGAUGAUCUAAGAAAGCAGGCAAAUGUGCUUUGAAAUUAGCUUGUGAGAAGUUUGAGUAUAUCAUAUUUUUUUAUUAAAAUCUUGGUAGUUUAAUAAUUUAAAAAGCAUUGUUUAUUGGUUUGUGUAAUACAACUAUAGGAAACUAUUAUUUUAUUGAUUUUGUAUUAUUGUAAUAAUUGUUUCAAAUUAGUGCUUGUACUGAAUUGUAAUUUUAAUUACUAUUGCAUAGCAAUUUCAUUAAUGUAAUUUUUUGUAAAAAUAGAAUGAUCGUAAUUGUAAUAAAAUUAUAAAUUGCUGUGAUAACAAUGUUUGUUUUUAUUGACACAAAUAUAUUGGGUUUCAUUCAUUCGUCGAAACAUUGCUUGAUAUGAGUGAGACUGAUUGUAGUUUAGAAGGGGUAUAAGCUUCCUAAGCCACAUGUGUGUGCAAGUUAAUGUCUGCGUGUAUUGGAGGGUGGAUUUGUGGCUUCGUAUCUUGGGCCUUGUGCUUCAAUGUCUGAGAUACACAAUGUUCUGGAAGAUUCAACCUCUUGAGACCCACUGGCCCUGAAAUCUUAUAACUCUAACUGGAAACUGGAAAAAUUUGGGGUGUGACACUGUUAUAAGAGGUUCAGAAGAAACUGGGUUGUGAAUCAUAACCUUUUAUAAAACAAAUUGUAGAUUUUACUUACGAUUCUGAAAUAGUGCUGAUAGAAUAUACAAUGAACUUUUACUUGUUUAAACAAUUUUAAAGUGGACAGACACUUAGAUUGUAUACAAUAUUUAACAUUGUACAUUCAAGGUUUUUGGAAAAAUAUGUGAGGGCAGAAAAUGAAGAACGGUAAAAAACCAAAAAGGUUGAAACUGUUUCAGCAAUUUAGAAGUGCAAACAGUUGGUCUAAUAAAGGUUUGUAAACAUUAGUGUUGUUAAUGUUUAUGCUGUUGGUUUGCUGUUUCAGUGCAAGUGUCACAUGUCCUUUUGCUAAGUGAUAUGAUUGAUGUAUUCGUUCUUCAUUUUUAGUGAGAGAUUUCUCUUUUACUUUACUUCGGCAACAUGUUUUUUCCUAAAUCGUUAACACCAUGUUGUGUGUGUUUUUUUUAGGAUCGCUGAGGGUUAUGUUAAUAUGGGAAUUGUCAGAGAUACAUGUUUAGUACAUUAACAUGUAUCUAUCUAAUUAAGUUACUUUUGAGCACACUAAAACUGUUAUAUAAAAAUUUAGUGUAUGAAUGAUUCUUUCAAAAUUUUGUUGGCAGAUAGUUUUGGAUUGACAGAAGAACUUUAUCUUGUCAAUCCCCUAGUAAAAAAGUGUAGUUAAAAACAAAUUAUGUUUUUUUUUUUUUUAGAGAGAAAGUAUAGCUUGAUCACAAAUAUUUUAUGAUUUGCAUAAACUGAUUAAGAAUUGUUUUGGUGCUAACUAAGAAUAAUUUGUUGACCUUAUACCUAAAUAGCUAAGUUUUGGCCUCAAUGUCCUCACAACUUUCUAAAUGAAGUAAGUUGAACAUAAAUUUUAUUUUGAAUGUUUUCAUCGAUUUUUAAGUUCACAAAUUGUUGCAGCAGUUACUAUUAUUAAAAAUUAUUACUAUUUACUAGAUUUAUUUUUUUAUGCUGCUGUCGUUAUCAUUAAAUUGCAUUAUAUAUGGUUCAUUUUAUAUUUUUACUCCAUAAUGUUGGCUGAUUGUAAUGGUGUUUAAGGUGUUUAGGUUUGUGAACAUCUACUACUGAAUUUAUUUGAAUUCCCUCUUAAGAUAAUAUCGUUGUGCCAUGUUUUCACAGACAAAGAUUAUAUAAUGUGGCAAUCAUACACAAUUUUUUUUUACAGUGCAUUAGAAACAGCAGCAAGACUAAACUUGUAAUGUUCAUAUAAGUUCAAAUGUUAGUAAUUUGUGAAGGUGGACAGACACUUUCUUUUAGUUUAGUCCCUGAAUUCUUGCAUAUUACCAUAAGUGAUUCAUUAUGUUGUACUCACUCAAAAAACAAUAUAUUGACAACUUGUUAUGCCCAAAUGCACCCCUGAAUGUGUUCAAUUUUGAAUGUUUUGACUCUUAAAUAGGUUUCCAAAGUUGCUGAUAUUGUAUUCGCAAGACCAUUAUAUUAUGCAAAGUCUAUUUUAAAAUCGUCUUGAUUCUUGGAAUGUUUUAACCAAUGACCCAAACUUAAAUAUUUAGUGACAUUUUUCAGCCAAUAUUCAGAUUGGUGUUCCUUUUUGCAUUUCAUUUCAUGGCAGACAUUUUCCCAGUUAUGCAUGAUUGUUGUUUGUUUCACUUUUUAUUUUUAAUGUUAUAGGCAUGUUUCCUAAGCCGUUGAAUGUUUUAUUAAGUUUUGAUGGAAAGGGAGACAGAAGGUUUGUUUAUCCCAUCAUCCCUAAAGGCACAGUAUUUUAAUGAAAUCUCAUCUCUCACUGUCUCCCUUUCUUUAUCUGUCACCGUUGUCUUUCUCAGACCUGUUUCUUUUUCAUAGCUACUGAUCACUUAAUGACUGUUUAAAUAGUUAGUCUGAACGA
Molecule: non-coding RNA, 3805 nt
Organism: Paramisgurnus dabryanus
Lineage: Eukaryota; Metazoa; Chordata; Actinopteri; Cypriniformes; Cobitidae
Source: RefSeq, a predicted model, not a curated record